AUACGUAGGUGGCAAGCGUUGUCCGGAUUUACUGGGUGUAAAGGGCGUGUAGGCGGAGAUGCAAGUCAGGAGUGAAAUCUAGGGGCUCAACCCCUAAACUGCUUUUGAAACUGUAUCCCUUGAGUAUCGGAGAGGCAGGCGGAAUUCCUAGUGUAGCGGUGAAAUGCGUAGAUAUUAGGAGGAACACCAGUGGCGAAGGCGGCCUGCUGGACGACAACUGACGCUGAGGCGCGAAAGCGUGGGGAGCAAACAGGAUGAGAUACCCUGGUAGUCCACGCUGUAAAUGAUGAAUACUAGGUGUGGGGGGACUGACCCCCUCCGUGCCGCAGUUAACACAAUAAGUAUUCCACCUGGGGAGUACGAUCGCAAGAUUGAAACUCAAAGGAAUUGACGGGG
RNAcentral lists this ribosomal RNA (396 nucleotides) under uncultured bacterium. Its description in RNAcentral is "partial 16S ribosomal RNA". It matches the Rfam family "Bacterial small subunit ribosomal RNA", at positions 523 to 918 of the family's 1533-position model. The record is from RNAcentral.